GGCCCAGAUCGUUUACCGUGAAAAAAUUAGAGUGUUCAAAGCAGGCAGAUUCAAUUUUCUGCCACCGAAUACAUUAGCAUGGGAUAAUGGAAUAGGACCCUGUCCUCCUAUUUUCAGUUGGUUUUGGCAGCGCGAGGACUAGGGUAAUGAUUAAUAGGGAUAGUUGGGGGCAUUAAUAUUUAAUUGUCAGAGGUGAAAUUCUUGGAUUUAUGAAAGAUUAACUUCUGCGAAAGCAUCUGCCAAGGAUGUUUUCAUUAAUCAAGAACGAAAGUUAGGGGAUCGAAGACGAUCAGAUACCGUCGUAGUCUUAACCAUAAACGAUGCCGACCAGCGAUUAGGAGACGUUGAAUACAAAACACCACCAUCGGCGCGGUCGUCCUUGGCGUUCGUGUUCUCGCGACGAGCGCGAGGGCGGUUUAGCCCGAUGGCACCGGUGAAUGACUCCCCUAGCAGCUUGUGAGAA
RNAcentral lists this ribosomal RNA (463 nucleotides) under Acanthamoeba sp. AG-2012. RNAcentral describes it as "SSU rRNA". It matches the Rfam family "Eukaryotic small subunit ribosomal RNA", at positions 740 to 1096 of the family's 1831-position model. The record is from RNAcentral. Lineage: Eukaryota; Discosea; Longamoebia; Acanthamoebidae.